GUCCACGCCCUAAACGAUGUCUACUAGUUGUCGGGUUUAAUUAACUUGGUAACGCAGCUAACGCGUGAAGUAGACCGCCUGGGGAGUACGGUCGCAAGAUUAAACUCAAAGGAAUUGACGGGACCCGCACAAGCGGUGGAUGAUGUGGAUUAAUUCGAUGCAACGCGAAAACCUUACCUACCCUUGACAUGUACGGAAGCCACGAGAGAUCGAGGUGUGCUCGAAAGAGAGCCGUAACACAGGUGCUGCAUGGCUGUCGU
Molecule: ribosomal RNA, 260 nt
Filed under: uncultured bacterium
Lineage: Bacteria
Description: partial 16S ribosomal RNA
Rfam family: Bacterial small subunit ribosomal RNA
Source: RNAcentral